GUCGAACGCUGGCGGCGUGCCUAAUACAUGCAAGUUGAGCGCUGAAGGUUGGUACUUGUACCAACUGGAUGAGCAGCGAACGGGUGAGUAACGCGUGGGGAAUCUGCCUUUGAGCGGGGGACAACAUUUGGAAACGAAUGCUAAUACCGCAUAAAAACUUUAAACACAAGUUUUAAGUUUGAAAGAUGCAAUUGCAUCACUCAAAGAUGAUCCCGCGUUGUAUUAGCUAGUUGGUGAGGUAAAGGCUCACCAAGGCGAUGAUACAUAGCCGACCUGAGAGGGUGAUCGGCCACAUUGGGACUGAGACACGGCCCAAACUCCUACGGGAGGCAGCAGUAGGGAAUCUUCGGCAAUGGACGAAAGUCUGACCGAGCAACGCCGCGUGAGUGAAGAAGGUUUUCGGAUCGUAAAACUCUGUUGGUAGAGAAGAACGUUGGUGAGAGUGGAAAGCUCAUCAAGUGACGUUAACUACCCAGAAAGGGACGGCUAACUACGUG
This 497-nucleotide ribosomal RNA is filed under the name uncultured bacterium. RNAcentral's name for it is "partial 16S ribosomal RNA". It matches the Rfam family "Bacterial small subunit ribosomal RNA", at positions 28 to 507 of the family's 1533-position model. The record is from RNAcentral.